UGGCUCCAGAAACUCAUGGCGAAUCUCCAAAGAGUCUUCAUUGUGGGCUGUUAGAAGCAAAAGCCCACAGAAGCUGGGAAGGGGCAAUAGAACUGGUGAAAAAAGGCCCUGGAAGAUCUGGAUGGAGGACUGAGGGCAUAGAUUAUAGGUGCAAAAAUACGCUGGAACCAUAUGUGAUAAAUUCAUGACUUUCAUUGAGAGACCAGCAGCAGUUUGCCUUCUGGUACGGGUCCACAAAACUUGCUGUUUGAGCAGUGCUGAGCCAGAGCAUUCUGGGAAGGAGAUGGGGUUGGCAGUGUCAAAUGCUGCCAAGGCGAUGAGGAGACUGAAUUCUGCCAACAACCACAUGAGCUUGGAAGAGGAUCCCAAACCCCAGAUAGGAAGGCAAUCUGGCCGACACCCCUGACUGCAGCCUUACAAGAUUCAGCAGAGGACCUAGCCAAGCUGUGCUCUAGCUCCUGACCCACAGGAAUGGUAAAAUUGUACAUGAUGGCGAGGCACUAAGUGCGUGGAAAAUUCGUCUAAAUGGCCAAGCAAUAUAUCCCAUCCCACACUCUCCCCUACAACCGUGACUUUAACAUGUCUCCCAUCAAUAGGCGGAGUCUAAUUCCCCUUACCUUGAGUCCAGAUGGGUUUGUGACUACUUUGACGACAGAGGACCAUGGAAGUGACAUUGAUUUUCAAGACUGGGUAAUAAAGGGCGAUGCAGCAUUCACCUUGUCACUGGAUCACUUGCUCUUGGAGCCCUGAGCUGCCAUGUAAGAUGUCUGACUGUGCUGAGGCCGCCAUGUUGUGAGGAAGCCUAGGCUCUACACGUGUGAGAGAACGAAGUUUCCAGCGACCCCAGCCUCCAGCCAUUGACUCACUCCCAGCCCUCUAGUCUUUCCAACUGAGGUUCUAGAUAUCAAGGAGCAGAGACAAGCUAUCCCCACUGUGCCGUAACCAAAUUCGUCACCCACUGAAUCCAUGAAGGAGUAGCCAGCCACCACGUCCUAAGGCAACCCUGCAAAGAGGCCCAUGUGCGUGAGCCGGAGGCAUAUCUUCUGAGGCCUGCCAGCAGCCAGGCCAGUGGGCCUGGGAGCAGGUCCUCCACCAGUCGAGCCUUGAGAUGGGACUGGAACCCUAGCGAUACUUUGAUUGCAGCCUUGUGAGGGACGCUGAGCCAGAGGACCCAGCUAAGCCACAUGCAGAUUCCUGACCGUCAGAGACUGUGAGGAAAAUUCAGUGGUCCUUUCCCGGCUUCCUCUCCUUGCAUGGACCUUAAUGUCACUUCCUCAGGGAAGCCCUCCCCGAGACCCCAGAUAAG
Delphinapterus leucas (beluga whale) is the source of this 1306-nucleotide long non-coding RNA. RefSeq lists it as uncharacterized. The record is from RefSeq and is a predicted model, not a curated record. Lineage: Eukaryota; Metazoa; Chordata; Mammalia; Artiodactyla; Monodontidae.